GCCGCUGUGGUGAAAUGGUAGACACAUGGCUUUCAAAAAGCCACAGAGAAAUCUGUGUCGGUUCAAGUCCGACUAGCGGUA
This 81-nucleotide transfer RNA is filed under the name Symbiochloris handae. RNAcentral describes it as "tRNA-Leu". It matches the Rfam family "tRNA". Rfam says of the family: Transfer RNA (tRNA) molecules are approximately 80 nucleotides in length. Their secondary structure includes four short double-helical elements and three loops (D, anti-codon, and T loops). Lineage: Eukaryota; Viridiplantae; Chlorophyta; Trebouxiophyceae; Trebouxiales; Trebouxiaceae. The record is from RNAcentral.